This 253-nucleotide ribosomal RNA is filed under the name uncultured bacterium. RNAcentral's name for it is "partial 16S ribosomal RNA". It matches the Rfam family "Bacterial small subunit ribosomal RNA", at positions 524 to 776 of the family's 1533-position model. The record is from RNAcentral.
UACAGAGGGGGCAAGCGUUGUUCGGAAUUACUGGGCGUAAAGGGCGCGUAGGCGGCCCGUCAAGUCCCGUGUGAAAGCCCCCGGCUCAACCGGGGAACGGCGCGGGAAACUAGCAGGCUUGAGUUCGGGAGAGGGAAGCGGAAUUCCGGGUGUAGCGGUGAAAUGCGCAGAUAUCCGGAGGAACACCGGUGGCGAAGGCGGCUUCCUGGACCGACACUGACGCUGAGGCGCGAAAGCUAGGGGAGCAAACGGG